GACGAACGCUGGCGGCGUGCCUAAUACAUGCAAGUAGAACGCUGAAGGAGGAGCUUGCUUCUCUGGAUGAGUUGCGAACGGGUGAGUAACGCGUAGGUAACCUGCCUGGUAGCGGGGGAUAACUAUUGGAAACGAUAGCUAAUACCGCAUAAGAGUAGAUGUUGCAUGACAUUUGCUUAAAAGGUGUAAUUGCAUCACUACCAGAUGGACCUGCGUUGUAUUAGCUAGUUGGUGGGGUAACGGCUCACCAAGGCGACGAUACAUAGCCGACCUGAGAGGGUGAUCGGCCACACUGGGACUGAGACACGGCCCAGACUCCUACGGGAGGCAGCAGUAGGGAAUCUUCGGCAAUGGACGGAAGUCUGACCGAGCAACGCCGCGUGAGUGAAGAAGGUUUUCGGAUCGUAAAGCUCUGUUGUAAGAGAAGAACGAGUGUGAGAGUGGAAAGUUCACACUGUGACGGUAUCUUACCAGAAAGGGACGGCUAACUACGUG
Molecule: ribosomal RNA, 495 nt
Filed under: uncultured bacterium
Lineage: Bacteria
Description: partial 16S ribosomal RNA
Rfam family: Bacterial small subunit ribosomal RNA
Source: RNAcentral